This 253-nucleotide ribosomal RNA is filed under the name uncultured bacterium. RNAcentral describes it as "partial 16S ribosomal RNA". It matches the Rfam family "Bacterial small subunit ribosomal RNA", at positions 524 to 776 of the family's 1533-position model. The record is from RNAcentral.
UACAGAGGAGCCAAGCGUUGUCCGGAUUGACUGGGCGUAAAGCGCACGUAGGCGGCGGCGUAAGUCGGGUGUGAAAUCCCUCGGCCUAACCGAGGAACUGCGCCCGAUACUGCGUUGCUUGAGGAUCAGAGGGGUGCAUGGAAUUUCCGGUGGAGCGGUGAAAUGCGUUGAUAUCGGAAGGAACGUCGGCGGCGAAAGCGGUGCACUGGCUGAUCUCUGACGCUGAGGUGCGAAAGCCAGGGGAGCAAACGGG